UCAGGCCUAACACAUGCAAGUCGAACGGAUCACUUCGGUGGUUAGUGGCGAACGGGUGAGUAAUGCCUAGGAAUCUGCCUAUUAGCGGGGGAUAACGUUCCGAAAGGAACGCUAAUACCGCAUACGCCCUACGGGGGAAAGCAGGGGAUCUUCGGACCUUGCACUAAUAGAUGAGCCUAGGUCAGAUUAGCUAGUUGGUGGGGUAAAGGCUCACCAAGGCGACGAUCUGUAGCGGGUCUGAGAGGAUGAUCCGCCACACUGGAACUGAGACACGGUCCAGACUCCUACGGGAGGCAGCAGUGGGGAAUAUUGGACAAUGGGCGCAAGCCUGAUCCAGAAGGGCCGCGUGUGUGAAGAAGGCCUUUUGGUGUAAUCUAAAGGAGCGAGGAGGAGGGCACUUAGGUUAAUACCCUGAUGUGUGGA
RNAcentral lists this ribosomal RNA (423 nucleotides) under uncultured bacterium. RNAcentral's name for it is "bacterial SSU rRNA". It matches the Rfam family "Bacterial small subunit ribosomal RNA", at positions 43 to 444 of the family's 1533-position model. The record is from RNAcentral.